GUGGUUUGUGAUAUCCCUGAGGUCUAAGCCAUAGGAGCCUGUGGACAGCCGAGAAGGAGUCCCCACCGCUAGUUGCUCCUGGUCUUUCCUGCACUAAGGUCCCCUCCUGGAUCAGCCUCACUCCUGAAGCCCCAGGCAGAACGGCUCCCUCCUUAGCAAUCACAGGUAUGGAGCUGACUGCAGAGCAAAGCACGGCAGGGGACUCAGCCCUGGAGUCAGGCUCCCAGCUGCUGCCGGGGUUCCUGUCCUGACUCAACUGCUUACCCGCUGUGUGGAGCUCCUGCCAGUUGAGGUUUCCAGGAAUACACACACACUCUCCUAUGCAGGAGAGAUUCAUCUCAGGCUACUUGAAGCAGAGGCCACAUGGAUCCAAUGCUCUCUGCCACUCAGCUCCUCUAGGAGAACCCGCCAGGCCCCGGGGGGCUGCCGAGCUUCGUUCUUAUUCAUCAUUGCUGGGAACUGCACCUUUCCUCCAGGCUGUGUGGGGAUGUGCAUCACCAUGGAAACGCUAGAGGUGAAAUCACUCAAUUGCUGUCCUUACCCGAAGGGGAAAGACUGUGGGAGGAGCCUGUUGGCUGCUGAUUCACCAGGAGCUGCAAAAGGAUGGGCAUUUGGCCUCCUGAGAGCCUGGGCAUGACCCACAGGGACCUCAUUACCUGUGAACAGAGGGCUGUCCUGCAGCAAGUCAGCUGGUGCAUGAACAAGUCCACUUAGAGCAUCGUGUUUGUGGACACCCAGGCAUAGACAAAUCAUGUGUUUGGGCUGAAAGAGAUCAGGUUAUGGAAGACUGAUAUCAAGAAACCCUGUCUCCAAAAGUAAAGUAAUUGAUCAUGUUCAGGUGCCUGUGGCCAUGUCGUCUCUCUGCCGCCAAGCUGCACUGGAGGUGUCUCACGAGCUCGCUGACCUCCUGCUGUCAGCCUUCCUCCUCAAGCUCAAGGUGUGAACCUGCUUUCUGCCCCAGGAUCUUCUCUGAUGGCCACCCUGAAGCUCAACCUGGAGUGGGACAAGUUAACUCCUGCUGGGGGCAACCCUCUAACUCUGAACCUAUUGGUGAUGGGAGCUGGGAGAAAGCCACCCACCCUGGUGUUCUUCAGGGGAAUAAUUCUAGAAGGGUAUUCUACACACUUCCCAGAGGGUCAUGGCAGCACGGAGCUACCAACCUGCAGGAACUUCCAUCACAUCACCCACUUUUAUUGACUCCUCCCCCAACCGUGUCUGAGAUCUGUCCAUCCUCCAUCCUGCUGCCUGGGAUCACCUCACAAAUAAACUGCUUACACCCAGGUCCUUAUCUCAGGGUCAGCUGUUGGAGGAACCUGAACACACACCUCCACUGCUUGUGUGUGUGUUAGUCAUUCAGGCAUGUCUGACUCUUUGGGACCCCAUGGAAUGUAGCCCAUCAGGCUCCUCUGUCCAUGGAAUUCUCCAGGCAAGAAUCCUGGAGUGGGCUGCCAUUCCCUUCUCCAGGGGAUCUCCUGACCCAGGGAUCAAACCCGGUCUCCUGCAUGGCAGGCAGAUUCUUUACCACUGAGCAACCAUGGAAGCACUGCCCCCCCCCGCCCCCCUGCCACCACCCCUGCCCGCUCCCUCCGCCCCCCCCCCCCCCGCCAUUCAAGUGUAAGAUCAAUGUGAAGACACGCUCAGCCUUGAAAAGACUGUUUUUUCACACAUGGCAGGUGGGUCAUCUUCUUUCUCCAUACCCACAGGUUCACCAAGCCUUCUUUCUACAUACAGGCACCACUUUGGAGAAGAGACGCAGAAGAAAUGUUAAAGUGAAGCAUGUACUUCCCCAAAGAGACAUGUGCAAGGUAGCAUAG
RNAcentral lists this long non-coding RNA (1814 nucleotides) under Capra hircus (goat). RNAcentral describes it as "lncRNA (ENSCHIG00000006810.1)". The record is from RNAcentral. Lineage: Eukaryota; Metazoa; Chordata; Mammalia; Artiodactyla; Bovidae.